This 826-nucleotide ribosomal RNA is filed under the name uncultured Bacteroidota bacterium. Its description in RNAcentral is "bacterial SSU rRNA". It matches the Rfam family "Bacterial small subunit ribosomal RNA", at positions 64 to 882 of the family's 1533-position model. The record is from RNAcentral. Lineage: Bacteria; Pseudomonadati; Bacteroidota.
GAGGGGCAGCGGGAUUGAAGCUUGCUUCAAUUGCCGGCGACCGGCGCACGGGUGAGUAACGCGUAUCCAACCUUCCGUACACUCAGGGACAGCCUUUCGAAAGAAAGAUUAAUACCUGAUAGUAUCUUAAGCACACAUGUAAUUAAGAUUAAAGAUUUAUCGGUGUACGAUGGGGAUGCGUUCCAUUAGGUAGUAGGCGGGGUAACGGCCCACCUAGCCAACGAUGGAUAGGGGUUCUGAGAGGAAGGUCCCCCACAUUGGAACUGAGACACGGUCCAAACUCCUACGGGAGGCAGCAGUGAGGAAUAUUGGUCAAUGGACGAGAGUCUGAACCAGCCAAGUAGCGUGAAGGAUGAAGGUCCUACGGAUUGUAAACUUCUUUUAUAAGGGAAUAAACCCUCCCACGUGUGGGAGCUUGUAUGUACCUUAUGAAUAAGCAUCGGCUAACUCCGUGCCAGCAGCCGCGGUAAUACGGAGGAUGCGAGCGUUAUCCGGAUUUAUUGGGUUUAAAGGGAGCGCAGACGGGUCGUUAAGUCAGCUGUGAAAGUUUGGGGCUCAACCUUAAAAUUGCAGUUGAUACUGGCGUCCUUGAGUGCGGUUGAGGUGUGCGGAAUUCGUGGUGUAGCGGUGAAAUGCUUAGAUAUCACGAAGGACCCCGAUUGCGAAGGCAGCACACUAAUCCGUAACUGACGUUCAUGCUCGAAAGUGUGGGUAUCAAACAGGAUUAGAUACCCUGGUAGUCCACACGGUAAACGAUGGAUACUCGCUGUUGGCGAUAUACUGUCAGCGGCUUAGCGAAAGCGUUAAGUAUCCCACAUGGGGAGUA